RNAcentral lists this ribosomal RNA (500 nucleotides) under uncultured bacterium. Its description in RNAcentral is "partial 16S ribosomal RNA". It matches the Rfam family "Bacterial small subunit ribosomal RNA", at positions 30 to 523 of the family's 1533-position model. The record is from RNAcentral.
AUUGAACGCUGGCGGCAGGCCUAACACAUGCAAGUCGAGCGGUAGAGAGGAGCUUGCUUCUCUUGAGAGCGGCGGACGGGUGAGUAAUGCCUAGGAAUCCGCCUGAUAGUGGGGGAUAACGUCCGGAAACGGACGCUAAUACCGCAUACGUCCUACGGGAGAAAGUGGGGGCUCUUCGGGCCUCACGCUAUCAGAUGAGCCUAGGUCGGAUUAGCUAGUUGGUGGGGUAAAGGCUCACCAAGGCGACGAUCCGUAACUGGUCUGAGAGGAUGAUCAGUCACACUGGAACUGAGACACGGUCCAGACUCCUACGGGAGGCAGCAGUGGGGAAUAUUGGACAAUGGGCGAAAGCCUGAUCCAGCCAUGCCGCGUGUGUGAAGAAGGUCUUCGGAUUGUAAAGCACUUUAAGUUGGGAGGAAGGGUCGUUACCUAAUACGUGACGAUUUUGACGUUACCGACAGAAUAAGCACCGGCUAACUCUGUGCCAGCAGCCGCAGUAA